Molecule: ribosomal RNA, 359 nt
Filed under: Pseudarthrobacter sulfonivorans
Lineage: Bacteria; Bacillati; Actinomycetota; Actinomycetes; Micrococcales; Micrococcaceae
Description: partial 23S ribosomal RNA
Rfam family: Bacterial large subunit ribosomal RNA
Source: RNAcentral
GGUCAAGUUUUUAAGAGCACACGGUGGAUGCCUUGGCAUUAGGAGCCGAAGAAGGACGUAGGAAUCUGCGAUAAGCCUGGGGGAGUCGAUAACCGGACUGUGAUCCCAGGGUGUCCGAAUGGGGAAACCCCGCCAGGGGAGCGAUCUGCCUGGUGACCCGCAUCUGAACACAUAGGGUGCGUGGAGGGAACGCGGGGAAGUGAAACAUCUCAGUACCCGCAGGAAGAGAAAACAAUAGUGAUUCCGUUAGUAGUGGCGAGCGAACGCGGAUCAGGCUAAACCGUUCCAUGUGUGAUAGCCGGCGGGCGUUGCAUGGUCGGGGUUGUGGGACUUUCCAUACUGUCUCUGCCGGGACAGUG